This 450-nucleotide ribosomal RNA is filed under the name uncultured bacterium. Its description in RNAcentral is "partial 16S ribosomal RNA". It matches the Rfam family "Bacterial small subunit ribosomal RNA", at positions 354 to 796 of the family's 1533-position model. The record is from RNAcentral.
GUGAGGAAUUUUCCGCAAUGGGCGAAAGCCUGACGGAGCAAUGCCGCGUGAAGGAAGAAGGCCUUCGGGUUGUAAACUGCUUUUGUACGGAACGAAACGGUCCGGGUUAAUACCCUGGGCUAAUGACGGUACCGUAAGAAUAAGCACCGGCUAACUACGUGCCAGCAGCCGCGGUAAUACGUAGGGUGCAAGCGUUAAUCGGAAUUACUGGGCGUAAAGCGUGCGCAGGCGGUUUUGUAAGACAGGCGUGAAAUCCCCGGGCUCAACCGGGGAAUUGCGCUUGUGACUGCAAGGCUGGAGUGCGGCAGAGGGGGAUGGAAUUCCGCGUGUAGCAGUGAAAUGCGUAGAUAUGCGGAGGAACACCGAUGGCGAAGGCAAUCCCCUGGGCCUGCACUGACGCUCAUGCACGAAAGCGUGGGGAGCAAACAGGAUUAGAUACCCCAGUAGUCC